GCCAGUGUGGUGCAGUGGUUUGAGCGUUGGACUGUAACUCUGGAGACCAGGGUUCGAAUCCUGGCUUGGGCA
Molecule: transfer RNA, 72 nt
Filed under: Phrynosoma platyrhinos (Desert horned lizard)
Lineage: Eukaryota; Metazoa; Chordata; Lepidosauria; Squamata; Phrynosomatidae
Description: tRNA-OTHER
Rfam family: tRNA
About the family: Transfer RNA (tRNA) molecules are approximately 80 nucleotides in length. Their secondary structure includes four short double-helical elements and three loops (D, anti-codon, and T loops).
Source: RNAcentral